RNAcentral lists this long non-coding RNA (1032 nucleotides) under Cairina moschata (Muscovy duck). RNAcentral's name for it is "domestica (muscovy Duck (domestic type)) lncRNA (ENSCMMG00000008391.1)". The record is from RNAcentral. Lineage: Eukaryota; Metazoa; Chordata; Aves; Anseriformes; Anatidae.
AGCCACUCUCUUUUCACAUCAAACUUUGAAGCGCUGCAAAAGAAGUCUCUUGGUAUAUCAGCAUGCUGUGGCACUGUGUGCAUCCUGUGACAUGCUGUCUUGCAUGGAAAAACUAUCCUUUUGUUAUAGAGCACCCGUCCUGUACUUUGCUCUUCUAAAAUACCAGAUGUAUGCUACAUGUGGUAGGCAGUCUUGACCCUUGGUAUUUUACUUAGGAGAGGGGUGUGUGUGAAAGGAAAGGAAAAGAGAAGCAAUGAUGCUGUCCUUGUUCUUGAACUGAAUUCUGUGCACUUCAGGGCAGCGGAGAUGGGGAUCAGGACAGGGGUGGGUACAAAGAAUGGGAAAGGUGCUGCAGCACUGGCCUCCUCGAACAGGACCCUAUGCUGGUGACCUGUAUAGUGGCUGGAGAGUGUUUCAGAAGCAUUUUGAUCCCAUCAAAGGAGCUAGCAAGAGAAUAAGACUAUCAGAAGUCCUUAGUGCUUUCCAGAAUUCAUAAUCUUUACUCAGAAGAUGCCUCCAUCAGCUGGAGGUAGAAGCCAAUAGCCAUACUAUAAAAGAACUAAACAAUGGGUACUGUUUUAGGAUGCUGGAUGCUGGGAUGCCUGGAAAUAAUUGAGUGUUGAAGAAAUAAACUUACGCCUCCCAGCUCACAGAAGACCUUGCUACUGCUCCUUCAUCAGAAAAAAGGAGGAAAGUAAGAAAAGAUAUGGGUGCUUUCUGCAUGUCCUAAGUCAGCAGCCUGUGAUUUCAGAGCAUGCAGAGCUGAGCCCUAAGGUCAGGGACUUGUGUGGCUGCAAAGGUCAGCUCCUGACUGACCUUUUUGUCUGUCCUGGUGGCCUUCAGAAAACCAGUGGAUCCCAUGCAGCUGGAAGCACUGUCAUUGCCAUCGGAGUUUUGAAAGGGCAGAAGCACCAUGGUCAAGUUGUUUCAGCAUGAGCGUCCAAGUGAAUUGUGGAGUCGGUGCCUGAGCAUUCAAGGAAAACGGAGCCUCUAGGAAGUCAAUAUAUGAAGUAGGAAUAUUUGUGUGCACGU